CCUACGGGAGGCAGCAGUGGGGAAUAUUGCACAAUGGGCGCAAGCCUGAUGCAGCCAUGCCGCGUGUGUGAAGAAGGCCUUCGGGUUGUAAAGCACUUUCAGCGGGGAGGAAGGCGGUGAGGUUAAUAACCUCAUCGAUUGACGUUACCCGCAGGAGAAGCACCGGCUAACUCCGUGCCAGCAGCCGCGGUAAUACGGAGGGUGCAAGCGUUAAUCGGAAUUACUGGGCGUAAAGCGCACGCAGGCGGUCUGUCAAGUCGGAUGUGAAAUCCCCGGGCUCAACCUGGGAACUGCAUUCGAAAGUGGCAGGCUAGAGUCUUGUAGAGGGGGGUAGAAUUCCAGGUGUAGCGGUGAAAUGCGUAGAGAUCUGGAGGAAUACCGGUGGCGAAGGCGGCCCCCUGGACAAAGACUGACGCUCAGGUGCGAAAGCGUGGGGAGCAAACAGGAUUAGAUACCCUAGUAGUC
Molecule: ribosomal RNA, 465 nt
Filed under: uncultured Klebsiella sp.
Lineage: Bacteria; Pseudomonadati; Pseudomonadota; Gammaproteobacteria; Enterobacterales; Enterobacteriaceae
Description: bacterial SSU rRNA
Rfam family: Bacterial small subunit ribosomal RNA
Source: RNAcentral